CCUACGGGAGGCAGCAGUAAGGAAUAUUGCGCAAUGGGCGAAAGCCUGACGCAGCGACGCCGCGUGGGGGAUGAAGGUCUUCGGAUUGUAAACCCCUUUCGGGAGGGAAGAUGGAAUGAGCAAUCAUUCGGACGGUACCUCCAGAAGCAGCCACGGCUAACUUCGUGCCAGCAGCCGCGGUAAUACGAAGGUGGCAAGCGUUGUUCGGAUUUACUGGGCGUACAGGGAGCGUAGGCGGUUUAGUAAGCCCUUUGUGAAAUCUCCAGGCUUAACCUGGAACAGUCGGAGGGGACUGCUAAGCUAGAGUACGGGAGAGGAGCGCGGAAUUCCCGGUGUAGCGGUGAAAUGCGUAGAGAUCGGGAGGAAGGCCGGUGGCGAAGGCGGCGCUCUGGAACGUUUCUGACGCUGAGGCUCGAAAGCGUGGGGAGCAAACAGGAUUAGAUACCCUGGUAGUCCACGCCUUAAACUAUGAAUACUAAGUGUCGGCGGUUUACCGCCGGUGCCGCAGCUACGCAUAGUAUUCGUCCGUGGAGUACGGCCGCGAGUAGAACGUACAAUAGAGUAGACGGUCGUGAGACGUUGUCCGACGGACGACGACGAGGGAGGAGG
This 609-nucleotide ribosomal RNA is filed under the name uncultured bacterium. RNAcentral describes it as "bacterial SSU rRNA". The stretch from base 1 to 527 matches the Rfam family "Bacterial small subunit ribosomal RNA", at positions 338 to 873 of the family's 1533-position model. The record is from RNAcentral.